Molecule: ribosomal RNA, 1417 nt
Filed under: metagenome
Description: bacterial SSU rRNA
Rfam family: Bacterial small subunit ribosomal RNA
Source: RNAcentral
UGAGUAACGCGUAGACAAUCUACCCUCCGGAUUGGAAUAACGACUCGAAAGGGUCGCUAAUACCGAAUACAUUCCCGACGCCGCAUGGCGGCGGGAAGAAAGAUGGCCUCUUCUUGAAAGCUAUCGCCAGAGGAUGGGUCUGCGAACCAUUAGCUAGUUGGUGAGGUAACGGCUCACCAAGGCUGCGAUGGUUAGCUGGUUUGAGAGGACGACCAGCCACAUUGGGACUGAGAUACGGCCCAGACUCCUACGGGAGGCAGCAGUGAGGAAUUUUCCGCAAUGGACGAAAGUCUGACGGAGCGACGCCGCGUGGGCGAGUAAGGUUUUCGGAUUGUAAAGCCCUGUCGCGAGGGACGAAAGCUUGUCGGCUAAUACCCCGCAAGUAUGACUGUACCUCGUAAGAAAGCGCCGGCCAACUACGUGCCAGCAGCCGCGGUAAUACGUAGGGCGCAAGCGUUAUCCGGAAUUACUGGGCGUAAAGAGCUCGUAGGCGGCUUGGUAAGCGCCAUGUGAAAGAUCAAGGCUCAACCUUGGGAACGCGUGGCGAACUGCUUAGCUGGAGAGUGGGAGAGGAAAGUGGAAUUCCAGGUGUAGCGGUGAAAUGCAUAGAUAUCUGGAAGAACACCAGUGGCGAAGGCGGCUUUCUGGACCAUUUCUGACGCUGAGGAGCGAAAGCUGGGGGAGCGAACGGGAUUAGAUACCCCGGUAGUCCUAGCCGUAAACGAUGAACACUGGGUGUGGGAGGUAUCGACCCCUUCCGUGCCGUAGCUAACGCGUUAAGUGUUCCGCCCGGGGAGUACGGCCGCAAGGUUAAAGCUCAAAGGAAUUGACGGGGGCCCGCACAAGCGGUGGAGCAUGUGGUUUAAUUCUAUGCAACGCGAAGAACCUUACCUAGGCUUGACAUCUGAGGAAUCCCGCGGAAACGUGGGAGUGCCCUUCGGGGAACUUCAAGACAGGUGCUGCAUGGCUGUCGUCAGCUCGUGCCGUGAGGUGUUGGAUUAAGUUCCGCAACGAGCGCAACCCUUGCCCUUAAUUGCCAUCAUUUAGUUGGGAACCUUAAGGGGACUGCCACAUUAUGUGUGGAGGAAGGUGGGGAUGACGUCAAGUCAGCAUGGCCUUUAUGCCUAGGGCUACACACGUGCUACAAUGGUCGGUACAACGGGUCGCUACAUCGCGAGAUGAUGCCAAUCCCUUAAAACCGGCCCAAGUUCGGAUCGGAGUCUGCAAUUCGACUCCGUGAAGCUGGAAUCGCUAGUAAACGCGGAUCAGAACGCCGCGUUGAAUACGUUCUCGGGCCUUGUACACACCGCCCGUCACACCACCCGAAUCUGGCGCACCCAAAGUCGUUGACCCAACCCCUCGGGGAGGGAGGCGCCUAAGGUGUACCCGGUGAGGAGGGUGAAGUCGUAACAAGGUA